AGGAACUGCCAGCAUGUUUCCCAGAGUGACUGUGCCAUUUUGUACUCCUUCCAGCCAUGCAAGAGAAUUCUUGGCUCUCUGCAUACUCACGGACACUUGCAACUGGACACUGUGUUUGACAUUCAACCCACCACCAACAGCAGCUUCAUGCAUCUACCACCAACUCUGGCUUCCUGGAUAUGCGACCUGUACAGUGGGUCACUGAGACUGCAGAUCAGGAGCAUUACAGGACGCCUGAUGUCACUCUUCCUCGGACCUCAGAAUCUUCCUAUGUCAGACUCAGUGGGCUCACGGGCCCCGUUCUGCUCCCUCUUCACUGGGAUGCAGCACGCCCAGAGAUGAAGUCUUCAGGCUUAGAAUUCCCACUGCCAGGAUUUAAACCCUGGCUCACCUCCUGCUAGCUGUGCACACUCAA
Molecule: long non-coding RNA, 415 nt
Organism: Canis lupus familiaris (dog)
Lineage: Eukaryota; Metazoa; Chordata; Mammalia; Carnivora; Canidae
Exons: 4
Source: RefSeq, a predicted model, not a curated record